UACGGGGGGGGCAAGCGUUGUUCGGAAUUACUGGGCGUAAAGGGCUCGUAGGCGGCCAACUAAGUCAGACGUGAAAUCCCUCGGCUUAACCGGGGAACUGCAUCUGAUACUGGAUGGCUUGAGUUCGGGAGAGGGAUGCGGAAUUCCAGGUGUAGCGGUGAAAUGCGUAGAUAUCUGGAGGAACACCGGUGGCGAAGGCGGCAUCCUGGACCGAUAUUGACGCUGAGGAGCGAAAGCCAGGGGAGCAAACGGG
Molecule: ribosomal RNA, 253 nt
Filed under: uncultured bacterium
Lineage: Bacteria
Description: partial 16S ribosomal RNA
Rfam family: Bacterial small subunit ribosomal RNA
Source: RNAcentral